Apus apus (common swift) is the source of this 2142-nucleotide long non-coding RNA. RefSeq lists it as uncharacterized. The transcript is spliced from 6 exons. NCBI's taxonomy places the organism in Eukaryota, Metazoa, Chordata, Aves, Apodiformes, Apodidae. The record is from RefSeq and is a predicted model, not a curated record.
AUGGGAGAAGCUGAAGGGUAAGAACAGUAAGAAGAGCAAAAAAAGCAAGAGGAGAGCCAGGCUGGAGGAGCAGACUGCAGCCUCUUCCCAGUCAAAAAGAGGAAAGAAGGAACCUCUGCUCACCUGGAAAAGGUGGCCCAGCAGAAAGAUGUCCAAGAGGGAGCUGCAGACCCCACAGGCUUCCAGGUGCUCCGUUUCCACCCUGCACAGAAGCCCUGAGAUUGGCAGCCAUUCCCUGCCCUUGAUGACUGCAGAGUCACCAAACAAGGAGCUGCAGGUGCCACUGGAAUCCACGGACGUAGCUCCCACCGUGGCCGUUGUACCUGCACCUGAGACCCGUGCCCCGAGCCGCAUAAUGAGCAUCAGCAUUUCCACGGACACCUCCCUGCUGGAACUGCUGGUGGAAACCACGGACGAGCAGGUCCCCGGGCAGAGGGAGAUGACUCCACAGAGCCCUGCAGAUAUUCAGAGGGCCCGCAACAGCCCUAUACCCAUAUCCAGACAGACCUGGAAUAAGCUCCUGGCAAGCUACAAUGAGAUGCAGGCGGGACACGAAUGGCCCAGGCCGAUGCACAAUGGGCAAGGGACACUGGGGGCCCCUAGUGGGAUCCUCCCUGGAGAGCCCUCCUUCCCCCCCAGCAGGAUGGAGGAGCAGGAGCACCAGGAGGUGCUGGAGGAGCAGGAGCACCAGGAGGUGCAGGAGGACAGGCUGCAGCCCCAGGGCCCCAGCCCCAAAAAGUCCAGGAGCAGGCGCCUGCGGGAGGGCUGUGCCCGGCUGUGGCGCUGCCUGAAGGCCUGGGGGAGGCGUUACUGCUGCUGCCUGCCCCCAGCUGUGGAGCAGUGAUCCACGUGCCGUGGAGACCUCCCACACCCCCAGCCGGGCUGAGAUGCUGCCACUGGUGAUGCUUGGGGUGCAGCUCAGCCUGAUCGCGGCCAGCUUUGGGAUCCAGGGGCUCCAGAAGUCAUGGAAGAGGCUGACGAGCAAUAAGAGCAAGAGGAGAGCCAGGCUGGAGGAGCAGACUGCAGCUUCUCCCCUCGAGGAUGGAGGAGUGAAGGAACCCCGAGAAGCCUGGAGACGGGAUGAGUGCUGGGGGAGACCCCUGAUCCUGCCCCACACCCUCACCCUGUGCCCUGAACCCUCCCGUUCUGGGCAGCCCUGCCUGCCCCAUGGGGAGGGGGUGCUGCCCGAGAGCCCCAACAGAGGGGCCCGGGUGCACUGGGGUCAGUUUUUUCUCCUUCUCUGCAGGGCCACCCUGGAGGUACCAAGCAGACAGCUGCGGACCACCAUGGACUCCCCAGACUCCAUAUCCUCCUUGCCAGGCUCCCUCCAGGGAAGAGCUCCCUCUGCUCCUGAACAGAGCCCUGGCCUGGAGUGCUGGCAGAGCUGGCAGCACUCCCCUGCUCAGAACCCUGCUGGUCUCCUGAGGCUGUGAAGGGAGGGGCUGGUGGGGGAGUCAGGGACAGCCCUUGGCCAGGACUCCACGCUGGAAGUGCCGGCAGGGAUCAAGCAGAAGCAGGUCCCCAGGCAUGGAGGGGACAGGGCACAGAGCCCUCUGGAUGUGCAGGUGUCCCCCAGCAGCCCUCCAGCCAUGGCCUCAAGCACCUGGAAGCAUGUCCUGGCAUCCUACCAUGCCAUCCAGGCUGGACACACACGAUCCACGCCGAUCCACAAGCAGCUGGAUGGAGACAUGGCCAAGGGGCAAGGGACACUGGGGGCCCCUAGUGGGAUCCUCCCUGGAGAGCCCUCCUUCCCCCCCAGCAGGAUGGAGGAGCAGGAGCACCAGGAGGUGCUGGAGGAGCAGGAGCACCAGGAGGUGCUGGAGGAGCAGGAGCACCAGGAGGUGCAGGAGGACAGGCUGCAGCCCCAGGGCCCCAGCCCCAAAAAGUCCAGGAGCAGGCGCCUGCGGGAGGGCUGUGCCCGGCUGUGGUGCUGCCUGAAGGCCUGGGGGAGGCGUUACUGCUGCUGCCUGCCCCCAGCUGUGGAGCAGUGAUCCACGUGCCGUAUGGCUUCAACCACAUAAAAGCACGUCUUGAAGCCCUGCCACACUGUCUAGGCUGCCCAGGCAGCUACCGAGUGGCUGUUCAGUGCAGGACUGGGAACGCAUCUCAAAUGUUUAAAAAUUAAAUACUUUCUUUGUCAGA